RNAcentral lists this ribosomal RNA (549 nucleotides) under Flavobacterium sp. EZ2-11-19. RNAcentral's name for it is "bacterial SSU rRNA". It matches the Rfam family "Bacterial small subunit ribosomal RNA", at positions 121 to 668 of the family's 1533-position model. The record is from RNAcentral. Lineage: Bacteria; Pseudomonadati; Bacteroidota; Flavobacteriia; Flavobacteriales; Flavobacteriaceae.
GCAAUCUACCUUUUACAGAGGGAUAGCCCAGAGAAAUUUGGAUUAAUACCUCAUAGUAUUAUGAAAUGGCAUCAUUUUAUAAUUAAAGUCACAACGGUAAAAGAUGAGCAUGCGUCCCAUUAGCUAGUUGGUAAGGUAACGGCUUACCAAGGCUACGAUGGGUAGGGGUCCUGAGAGGGAGAUCCCCCACACUGGUACUGAGACACGGACCAGACUCCUACGGGAGGCAGCAGUGAGGAAUAUUGGACAAUGGGCGCAAGCCUGAUCCAGCCAUGCCGCGUGCAGGAUGACGGUCCUAUGGAUUGUAAACUGCUUUUAUACAGGAAGAAACCCUGGUUCGUGAACCAGCUUGACGGUACUGUAAGAAUAAGGAUCGGCUAACUCCGUGCCAGCAGCCGCGGUAAUACGGAGGAUCCAAGCGUUAUCCGGAAUCAUUGGGUUUAAAGGGUCCGUAGGCGGUUUAGUAAGUCAGUGGUGAAAGCCCAUCGCUCAACGGUGGAACGGCCAUUGAUACUGCUAAACUUGAAUUAUUAGGAAGUAACUAGAAUA